This 490-nucleotide ribosomal RNA is filed under the name uncultured bacterium. Its description in RNAcentral is "partial 16S ribosomal RNA". It matches the Rfam family "Bacterial small subunit ribosomal RNA", at positions 30 to 507 of the family's 1533-position model. The record is from RNAcentral.
AUUGAACGCUGGCGGCAGGCCUAACACAUGCAAGUCGAACGGUAACAGGAAGAAGCUUGCUUCUUUGCUGACGAGUGGCGGACGGGUGAGUAAUGUCUGGGAAACUGCCUGAUGGAGGGGGAUAACUACUGGAAACGGUAGCUAAUACCGCAUAACGUCGCAAGACCAAAGAGGGGGACCUUCGGGCCUCUUGCCAUCGGAUGUGCCCAGAUGGGAUUAGCUAGUAGGUGGGGUAACGGCUCACCUAGGCGACGAUCCCUAGCUGGUCUGAGAGGAUGACCAGCCACACUGGAACUGAGACACGGUCCAGACUCCUACGGGAGGCAGCAGUGGGGAAUAUUGCACAAUGGGCGCAAGCCUGAUGCAGCCAUGCCGCGUGUAUGAAGAAGGCCUUCGGGUUGUAAAGUACUUUCAGCGGGGAGGAAGGGAGUAAAGUUAAUGCCUUUGCUCAUUGACGUUACCCGCAAAAGAAGCACCGGCUAACUCCGUG